GAUGAACGCCGGCGGCGUGCCUAAUACAUGCAAGUCGAGCGAACAGACGAGGAGCUUGCUCCUUUGACGUUAGCGGCGGACGGGUGAGUAACACGUGGGUAACCUACCUAUAAGACUGGGAUAACUUCGGGAAACCGGAGCUAAUACCGGAUAAUAUUUCGAACCGCAUGGUUCGAUAGUGAAAGAUGGAUCUGCUAUCACUUAUAGAUGGACCUGCGCCGUAUUAGCUAGUUGGUAAGGUAACGGCUUACCAAGGCAACGAUACGUAGCCGCACUGAGAGGGUGAUCGGCCAGACUGGAACUGAGACACGGUCCAGACUCCUACGGGAGGCAGCAGUAGGGAAUCUUCCGGAAUGGGCGAAAGCCUGACGGAGCAACGCCGCGUGAGUGAUGAAGGUCUUCGGAUCGUAAAACUCUGUUAUUAGGGAAGAACAAACGUGUAAGUAACUGUGCACGUCUUGACGGUACCUAAUCAGAAAGCCACGGCUAACUACGUGCCAGCCGCCGCCGUAA
This 513-nucleotide ribosomal RNA is filed under the name uncultured bacterium. RNAcentral's name for it is "partial 16S ribosomal RNA". It matches the Rfam family "Bacterial small subunit ribosomal RNA", at positions 28 to 523 of the family's 1533-position model. The record is from RNAcentral.